CCUACGGGUGGCAGCAGUGAGGAAUAUUGGUCAAUGGACGAGAGUCUGAACCAGCCAAGUAGCGUGAAGGAUGACUGCCCUAUGGGUUGUAAACUUCUUUUAUAUGGGAAUAAAAUGUUCCACGUGUGGGAUUUUGUAUGUACCAUAUGAAUAAGGAUCGGCUAACUCCGUGCCAGCAGCCGCGGUAAUACGGAGGAUCCGAGCGUUAUCCGGAUUUAUUGGGUUUAAAGGGAGCGUAGGUGGAUUGUUAAGUCAGUUGUGAAAGUUUGCGGCUCAAACGUAAAAUUGCAGUUGAAACUGGCAGUCUUGAGUACAGUAGAGGUGGGAGGAAUUCGUGGUGUAGCGGUGAAAUGCUUAGAGAUCACGAAGAACUCCGAUUGCGAAGGCAGUUCACUGGACUGCAACUGACACUGAGGCUCGAAAGUGUGGGUAUCAAACAGGAUUAGAGACCCCUGUAGUC
This 460-nucleotide ribosomal RNA is filed under the name uncultured bacterium. Its description in RNAcentral is "partial 16S ribosomal RNA". It matches the Rfam family "Bacterial small subunit ribosomal RNA", at positions 338 to 795 of the family's 1533-position model. The record is from RNAcentral.